GGAUGAACGCUAGCGGCAGGCUUAAUACAUGCAAGUCGAGGGGCAGCAGGCCCCGACGCAAGUCGGGGUGCUGGCGACCGGCAAACGGGUGCGGAACACGUACACAACCUUCCUUUAAGUGGGGAAUAGCCCAGAGAAAUUUGGAUUAAUACCCCGUAACAUUAUGAUGUGGCAUCACAUUAUACUUAUAGCUCCGGCGCUUAAUGAUGGGUGUGCGGCUGAUUAGGUAGUGGCGGGGUAACGGCCCACCAAGCCUGCGAUCAGUAACUGGUGUGAGAGCACGACCAGUCACACGGGCACUGAGACACGGGCCCGACUCCUACGGGAGGCAGCAGUAAGGAAUAUUGGGCAAUGGGCGAAAGCCUGACGCAGCGACGCCGCGUGAGGGAUGACGGCCU
RNAcentral lists this ribosomal RNA (398 nucleotides) under uncultured bacterium. RNAcentral describes it as "bacterial SSU rRNA". It matches the Rfam family "Bacterial small subunit ribosomal RNA", at positions 27 to 417 of the family's 1533-position model. The record is from RNAcentral.